Molecule: ribosomal RNA, 402 nt
Filed under: Escherichia coli
Lineage: Bacteria; Pseudomonadati; Pseudomonadota; Gammaproteobacteria; Enterobacterales; Enterobacteriaceae
Description: bacterial SSU rRNA
Rfam family: Bacterial small subunit ribosomal RNA
Source: RNAcentral
GGAAGCAGCUUGCUGCUUUGCUGACGAGUGGCGGACGGGUGAGUAAUGUCUGGGAAACUGCCUGAUGGAGGGGGAUAACUACUGGAAACGGUAGCUAAUACCGCAUAACGUCGCAAGACCAAAGAGGUUGACCUUCGGGCCUCUUGCCAUCGGAUGUGCCCAGAUGGGAUUAGCUAGUAGGUGGGGUAACGGCUGACCUAGGCGACGAUCCCUAGCUGGUCUGAGAGGAUGACCAGCCACACUGGAACUGAGACACGGUCCAGACUCCUACGCGGAGGCAGCAGUGGGGAAUAUUGCACAAUGGGCGCAAGCCUGAUUGCAGCCAUGCCGCGUGUAUGAAGAAGGCCUUCGGGUUGUAAAGUACUUUCAGCGGGGAGGAAGGGAGUAAAGUUAAUACCUUUG